ACUUCCGAUGCUGGACCAGGUUUUCUCAGCUCAACAAUUGUAUGCUCAUUGCCUGAAGUUCCAAACACCUGCGGAGUUUUUUCAAGCGUGCAAAAGAUUUUCGCGGUGCGAAAAGCAAGAGUACAUAACCAUCGCUUCAAAGGUUUGUUAUAAGAAAAAAUUUCUAUAAAAAGAUUCGCACAGUAUUGCAUCUUGACACGUCGCCGAAGGUUGCUAUCUUACCCACACAUUCAAUAAUAUAACCAUGUUUAGCAACGCACCUGUACUUAUCUCCUGCGUUGUUUUUGUGCAUGCCCAAAUGCAAUCACCGAGCAGAUGUCAGAAACCGCCCGAUUCUGGUUCCCACCGAGCGCAUAAACCGAGUUGGUUUUUUGAUUUUCUAACAAAACAUUGUAAAAUGUUCAUUUAUGGCGGUUGCUCAGGGAACGAUCUCGAGAACCGAUUCGAUUCGGAAAAACUCUGCCAAGAAACAUGCCUACCCGGAAAAAAGGAAAAAGCUGUGUGCAGCCUAAGCCCAUACACUCAGAAAUGUGCGUUGGGUCCCCGAUGGUUCUUUAACUCAUCAAUGAGGCUGUGCCAGAAGGUUCCGCAUGGCUAUUGCGCAACCAGCGCUAACAGGUUUCCAAAAUGCGUGGCCUGCAUGACGAGAUGCACAAAUUACAAUGCAGCGAAAACAUGCCAUGCGAUCCUUAGGGCGAUAACAGGGCCCAAGAAGACGAAAUAAACAUCUACUGCCUGGUCAACCUCUGGAAAAUAUGUAGCACACUUUUAUCAACUGGACUCGAUGCUUUAUCGCAAAAAUAAAUUUUUCCGAAACAUCUCGUAUUAAGACAACGCUAUACUUCAGA
Molecule: long non-coding RNA, 848 nt
Organism: Dermacentor silvarum
Lineage: Eukaryota; Metazoa; Arthropoda; Arachnida; Ixodida; Ixodidae
Exons: 4
Source: RefSeq, a predicted model, not a curated record